UUUCCGUAGGUGAACCUGCGGAAGGAUCAUUAUUGUAUAACCGAGGUGCGAGGGCUGUCGCUGACCCGAAAGGUCGUGCACGCCCGAGUGCCCUCACACACAUCCAUCUCACCCCUAUGUGCACCACCGCGUGGGUCCCCCUUUGGCUUGUUCGGAGGGGGGCUUACGUUUUCACACAAACUUUGUAUCCAGUGUAGAAUGUAUUUUUUGUUUUUGCGAUCACGCAAUCAAUACAACUUUCAACAACGGAUCUCUUGGCUCUC
RNAcentral lists this unclassified non-coding RNA (263 nucleotides) under plant metagenome. RNAcentral's name for it is "partial contains small subunit ribosomal RNA, internal transcribed spacer 1, and 5.8S ribosomal RNA". The record is from RNAcentral.